GCUCGAAUAGUUUAACAAAAACGCUGGUUUGUGGGGCCAGAGAUGCUAAGUUUGAGUUUUGAGCA
This 65-nucleotide transfer RNA is filed under the name Caridina pseudogracilirostris. RNAcentral describes it as "tRNA-His". It matches the Rfam family "tRNA". From Rfam's summary of the family: Transfer RNA (tRNA) molecules are approximately 80 nucleotides in length. Their secondary structure includes four short double-helical elements and three loops (D, anti-codon, and T loops). The record is from RNAcentral. Lineage: Eukaryota; Metazoa; Arthropoda; Malacostraca; Decapoda; Atyidae.